GCAGUGGGUGUUGAGUGGUAGAAUUCUCACCUUCCAUGCGGGAGACCUGGGUUCAAUUCUUGGCCAGUGCA
Molecule: transfer RNA, 71 nt
Filed under: Loxodonta africana (African savanna elephant)
Lineage: Eukaryota; Metazoa; Chordata; Mammalia; Proboscidea; Elephantidae
Rfam family: tRNA
About the family: Transfer RNA (tRNA) molecules are approximately 80 nucleotides in length. Their secondary structure includes four short double-helical elements and three loops (D, anti-codon, and T loops).
Source: Rfam by way of RNAcentral